AAGUCGUAACAAGGUUUCCGUAGGUGAACCUGCGGAAGGAUCAUUACCGAGAUAGGGUGCCGGCCUAAACCCCCCGGCGCCCGACCUCCAACCCCAUUGUCUACGAUACCUUUGUUGCCUCGGCGGGUCGUCGAGCGCCUAGCGAUAGGCCUCGCCGUCGGCUCCCAGGAGCCCUCGUGCCCCCGCCGAAGGACCGAAAUAAACCACAUUUGAAACCAGCCCCUCUGAGUGAAUAUACAAUACUUCAAAA
This 250-nucleotide unclassified non-coding RNA is filed under the name plant metagenome. Its description in RNAcentral is "partial contains small subunit ribosomal RNA and internal transcribed spacer 1". The stretch from base 1 to 46 matches the Rfam family "Eukaryotic small subunit ribosomal RNA", at positions 1786 to 1831 of the family's 1831-position model. The record is from RNAcentral.